Molecule: ribosomal RNA, 430 nt
Filed under: uncultured bacterium
Lineage: Bacteria
Description: bacterial SSU rRNA
Rfam family: Bacterial small subunit ribosomal RNA
Source: RNAcentral
GUGGGGAAUAUUGCACAAUGGGCGGAAGCCUGAUGCAGCGACGCCGCGUGAGGGAUGACGGCCUUCGGGUUGUAAACCUCUUUCAGCAGGGAAGAAGCGCAAGUGACGGUACCUGCAGAAGAAGCACCGGCUAACUACGUGCCAGCAGCCGCGGUAAUACGUAGGGUGCGAGCGUUGUCCGGAAUUAUUGGGCGUAAAGAGCUCGUAGGCGGCUUGUCACGUCGAUUGUGAAAGCCCAGGGCUUAACCCUGGGUCUGCAGUCGAUACGGGCAGGCUAGAGUUCGGCAGGGGAGACUGGAAUUCCUGGUGUAGCGGUGGAAUGCGCAGAUAUCAGGAGGAACACCGGUGGCGAAGGCGGGUCUCUGGGCCGAUACUGACGCUGAGGAGCGAAAGCGUGGGGAGCGAACAGGAUUAGAAACCCCAGUAGUCC